Molecule: long non-coding RNA, 9333 nt
Filed under: Lathyrus oleraceus (garden pea)
Lineage: Eukaryota; Viridiplantae; Streptophyta; Magnoliopsida; Fabales; Fabaceae
Description: Pisum sativum (pea) long non-coding RNA (PSAT_LNC037724)
Source: RNAcentral
UCUCACUCUCAGACCACUAUUCACUCUCUCAAAAAAAAGACAAUCUCUCAAUUUCCUCUCAACUCUGAGCUCACACAAUCCCCUUCCUCUCUCGCCCCAAAUCUCUCACUCUCAAUUCUCAGCUGAAACUCUCACCGACAAACCCUCCUCUCUAAAAUCCGCCGCCACCACCUUCUACCACCACUAAACACUCACCAACCGUCAACCCUCCGAAUCCUUCAUCAUCUUCGUCAUCGCAACUCAACCGUUCACCGCCACCCAAAACCCCUACCGUCGCGGCGACUUCCACCUUCAAACCCUUAAACCACCUUCGAAACACCGUCAAAACCGCCGUCGCUCUCACCGGCAAACUCUCUCCAUCUACCUUCAAAUCGCGCCCUCACCGACAAACCCACACGAAACCUACUCAUCUCACAAUCUCCAAGCCGUCACCAUCCAUCAUCGCUUCCGUCCACAAUCGCGACCCAUCUUCACCGCUAAAACCUAAUCUCUAAAUCCGCCGUCAUCACCGUACCGAAGCCGUCGGUGACUUGUCAGUUCGCAACUAUCUUCGACCUUCAUCAACAGUUUGGGAUUGUGUUGUGUAAUUUUUCUGUUUUUUCAGGGAAAGUCUGAAGCUUUAGAGCCAUGGGUCCAGCACCGGUGACGAUUACAACUAGCCUCUGUUGAUAGCUUCAAAAGGAUUUUCUUAUGAUUCUGGAAACGGUUUCAAGUCGCGCUGAUUCCUCUUCUUCCGCAACAACCACAAAGACCGUUAUUACUCUACCACUCUCAGCACGGCGUCGAAACCGCUUCUUGUCCACAUUAAAGCAAGCCGGGCAGAUUGUUGAAACACCAUGGAUACGGGGAUUGGGUGGAAGAUCUCAGGCUGUUGCUGAUGAUGUACUCCUGAAAUAAGCUCUUGACAACUAUCCGUCUGUACGGUAACAGAUCGAUUUAAGCUUAUUUUAGAAUUAUGAUUGUUUCAUGACAGUAUUUGAUAUCUCUGGAUAAUGUGUGUGUUUGUGAUUUUUAUCUUCCGAUUCGUUCUGGUGGUAGAUGGUAUCAACAUAUUUUAUGCUGAAAAUUUCGUUGAGGAUUGUAAAUUUUUUCUCUGAAUAUUGUUACUCUGUGUCGUUACUGUUUCGUUUUGUGUUGAUACUACAAUAGCCCUGUAUAUAAUCACAAUUUGCGGUGACAUACUUUGAUACCAUUUUUAUUGUACAUAUUCAACUCUUGAUUAUGACUUGUUUUAGCUAUAUCAAAAGGAUUUGUUUUGUAUUGCCUGUGAAGUUUAUAGUUGCUUGUAGUAUCUCGUUCAUUUUUCAUUUGAAUUGAGAUUUGGAUUAUGAAUACCAACGUGCUUGCUUAUACACAACUUAUGCGACUUUCAGUUUGGAUUAUAUUUGGGAAGAUAUUUUAAGUGGGAACUGUAUUAAAAUUCUGCUCUUGAAUUAUUAGAUUAGUUUGUGGAUGGAUCACUAUUGUUGGUGCAAAUGAGUUAUUAGCCCACGGCAUUAUCAGAAUUCUAAUAAUCUCAUGAUUGGUUUACAACGAUUUUCUCAAAUGCAUGUUGUUUUUAUUGCUGAAAUUUAAAUUGGAUUAUCAAUUGCCUAAUGGACUUUAUAGUGUAUAUAUAAGUCUACUUUAAUCAUAAGGCAUNAGUUCCUUCCUUGAAAACACAAACUUUAGAACCUACCCUUGGGAAUUUCUAGUAAUCAGAAAAACCCGUAUUUCUUCCUGUUAUCCUGACGUACCCGACGUGUGAAUAAUCUUAAGUCUGUAUUCCUUUGCAAAAAACAUGGCAAAAUUUCAUGCAUUUGCAUAUCAUCAACAUGCAUUGCAUAUCAUCUCCCAGAAACAAAAUCUCACACCAUGUUCUGCCCUUUGUCCAGUAAACGCUGACUACUCGACACCGGUACGAGACACGCCGCAAUUACAAGAUGACACUUGAACAGCUUGAAGCUAACCAAGUUUCGAUGAGGACCGACAUUGACUCCAUGCAGGCAAAGAUGGAUCGCUUGCUUGAGACCAUGUUACUCUUGGCUCAGAAGGAGAAGGAUGCUGAGACUAACGCCGAAGCCAGGAAAAUUGCUGCCCAAUUUGGAUCACCAUCGCUCAGUAUCCCUGGAGUGAUUGACCUUGAUGGUAACCCUAAUCAGCCUAGAGAAGGACCGAUCCCUAUUCCGAUCCCAAUGGACAAUAUAAAACCCCACGAGCAUUCUACUGUAUCUGCUCGACACGGAUCUGUGAUAUGUGAUGAAGAUCCAUAUGACGCUUUCUUCAUGCCACAGCCCGUCCAGCCUGCUGUUGGAGGUCUCCCAGACCCAGCUGUUGACAGACUCCAUGCGUUGGAGGAAAAGUUUAAGUCCUUGGAGGUUCACACUACUCCCGGUUUGGACGCCGUCGAUAUGUGCUUGGUGCCAGGCCUUGUGAUUCCACAGAAGUUCAAAGUCCCGGACUUUGACAAGUACAAAGGGAUCAGCUGCCCAAGAACACACCUCAGAGCUUACUGCCGCAAAAUGGCCGCCCACAUCAGUAAUGAUCAACUCCUGAUUCAUUACUUCCAAGAUAGUCUCAGUGGGGCAUCUUUGGAGUGGUACAUGCAACUGGAGAGAGGACAGGUCCAAUCAUGGAGAGACCUUGCUGAAGCAUUCCUCAGGCAUUAUCAGUACAACACUGAUCUAGCACCCAAUCGCACCCAACUGCAAGACAUGACUCAACGCAACAAUGAGUCAUUCAAAGAAUACGCCCAGCGGUGGAGAGAGCUAGCAGCUCGUGUUCAACCUCCUCUCUUUGACAAAGAGCUAAUUGACAUGUUUAUGGGAACCCUACACACCCAGUACAUGGAGAAGAUGGUAGGAUCCAGUUUCCCAACUUUUGCUGAGGUCGUCUCCGUGGGAGAACGAAUCGAGAGCCAGAUCAAGAAGGGGAAACUACCUUGCGCUGCUAAUGCUUCAAGUGGGAUGAAGAAACCUUAUCCUAAUCUCCCAAAGAAGCCAGAAGGUCAAACCAAUUCCAUAAUGGGAGGAGGAGGAUAUAGGGCACGCCCGUAUGCUCCUAUGCCUUAUAAUCAGGUUGCCGCUGUCGUCCCGACACCAUAUCAGCCUCCAUAUCAGCAACCCCAUCAACAACAAUAUCAACAGCCUUAUCAACAAACAGCUUAUCAGCAUCAGAAUCAACAUCGACGUGCUCCACAACCACGUCCCCCCAAUCAGCAGAGGGCAAGGAGGCCAGAAAGGCAUUUCGAUCCUUUGCCAGUAUCAUAUAGCAAGAUCCUCCCCUACCUGCUAAAGGAUGGAUCGGUCGUUCUGAAGGAGAUAACACCUGUAACUCCACCAUAUCCUCCAGGCUACGACGCCAAUGCUCACUGUGAGUAUCACAUGGGUGCUCCAGGGCACACAAUAGAGAACUGUAAGGCUUUCAAGCACAAGGUUCAAGAUUUGGUUGACAGUAAAGCACUUACAUUCACGCCAGUGAGGCCAAACGUUGCAACAAACCCCAUGCCGGCGCAUGCAGAAUCAAGUGAAGCUCGAAGGUAAAGCUUCCCACCGGCCUAAACAAGCAGAGCAAUUCCGCUGAAGAACCCAGAGAUGAAGGCUUGUUCAUUUGAAUGAAGGCAAUCCUGAUGCCAUUUUUACCAUUUUGCAUUCUUGUAAUUUGAUCUUGUUUGUCUAAGUACUGUACGCUUUAAACAUUGUUAUUUGUAUUUGGUUUUGUUAAUGGGAUGGUUAUGCAUGCUUUGAAUCAAUCUUUCNGGAUGAAACCCUGCUGAUGAUGUACAGGCAUUGUUUCAAAUCCCCAAACACUGGAGAGAUAAGGAGUUAAUCCCUAGUCAACCACUUCGAGCCUAGAAGUAGGAGUUUCUUUCAGAUCUAAAAAACCUUUACGCUUAACCUGGGGCAGGGUAGUGUUCAGUUAACCUGACUACACAUACAAAUUACAAAGGUGAAGUAUCCCAUACGAGGAUCAACCAUAUGACACUCUUCACACACAUCAUGAAGUGUCGAAGGAACCAUACAAAUCCAGAAUCUAUGUCGGUUGUUCUUCAAUGACCAAUGUCCUGGCAGUCACAAUUAAAAAAAAGGUCGAAGAAAGAGCCCGCUAAGUCGAACACCCUAAAAGGAGACUUAGGCAAAAAACAGGGGCAAUCCCGAUGGAUUAAAGCUUCAAACAAAGCGGUCCAUGCAAAAGUUAGGGAUCAAAACAAAAAAUCGAAAGAGACAAUGAAAGUCCUCAACAAAAGCAAAACAAGAUUCAGUGACCACCAUACCAAAAUCAAAGGGUCGCCGACAUCCAAAAAAACGAAAUAAGGUGGCUGCCAUUCCAAGGGACUUUGAACCACCAUCUUUAUCCUUACACAUGCAAGAGAAGAAUGUGUGUGAAUUAACUGAACAUAGGAUUGGAGAUCAUCAUGAAGAAGGGGUGGGUUAAAAUAAACUUUGAGCCUUAUAUCCUUUUGUUUCAAAACCAUCGACCAACACAGCAACGCCUCAAAAGACCAAGUUGAGUAGUGGUUUAUUCUGAAAGCAUACAUACAAGUUAGUAACUGACUCCUAAAUAUUUUCCAAUAUUCUCCUCUCACUAUAUCACUCACACACUAGCUAAAUCAAGCACCGCGUUUGGACACAUGAUCCACUCGCCACACACUACCACAACACUUCCCAAAUGAAUGAUUAUUUUUCAAAACUUGCAUAACUGUUGCAUUAACAUCACCAUUUCGUAGAUAACAAUUCUUAAUUGUCAGUCAGUGCUUGACAUCGGAAAAUUCCAACAAGGAGUAAUUCAACGGGCACUUGAUUGUUGGUGCUGACACGAAUCCAGACCAUCCUGUGAAUCAGGGGCAUGGCAUCUUUUGAUCAUAUUGACCUAAGAAGUAGUCUGUGUAAGACAAAUCUCCAAGCAUCGGUUGAUCAGGGAGAAAAACACUUCAGUACUCGGCCCGUCUGAAGCAGGUCCCUCAAAGGCUAAUCAGGGGCAGACCAUAGCCAGAUUUGGACAUCAGGAAACAAACUCAGACCAUGUCAUGGGAUAAUCACUCCUAAGGUUUCUUGCAGGGAGAAUUCCUUUGAACACCCUACAAACAGGGGCAAGACAAGUUGCAAGGGGCAAAAUUCCCUUCAUAUCUUCAAGACAGUCAGGCAGAUUGCGUCAAACAUUAGUGACUGCUUGAAUUCACAACCAAAAUGUCAAAAGUUCGUACCAGUACAACAUCAUGCCUUGACAAGAAUCCUUGAGGCACGUCAAAAGCACAAUCAUCAUGCGCUGAUCACGUCGCUAUGCUCAGUUACAAGCUGGCCAAACACUUCAGAAGAAGAAACCAAGAUCUUCUCAAAGACAAAUACUCAACAUAUCAGCAAGAGAUCAAACCUGGGGCACCAAGAGUAUCCACAUCCAUUUCGUGUUCAUCAUAUCAUCAACUACUGAGUGUCGGGAAUGUCAGAUCCUUUCACCAAUCAAUAGCAUAUCCACAUUGACAAUUACCAAAAAAACCUAAAGCCCACAUUGUUGGCACCCACAUAAAACCAAAUAUAACCAACUUUGGUUUCCAGAAGAUGCAUUGCCUUUGAAAGGGGGGCCAAUCCCAAACAAACCAAUCAUUCUUUGCAUACAAACAUGCAUUUCAUGCAUCAUAUGCAUCACCUCAUACAUAAUACAUACAUAUCAUUCAUGUACAUAACACAAAUCAAGAUCCAAGGUUUAGUCGUAGGCAUACAGGCCAACCCUCAGUUGAGUCGUUAUUUUUCUCUGAGUGAGUUCCUACCCUACUAUCGGGCGUUCCCCAUUGAGUUACAUCCUUCAACCUUUUGUUGAUAAGAUGUUAUCCUCAGCUUAGUCAAACAAUGUUUCUUUAAACACCUAUUUUUUUUUUCACGUUGAGCGUCCCUCAAUGAGUCGUUUCCCAUAACCUUUUGUUGACAGAAAUUACAUCUCCCCAGAGAACAUUGGCUCUGCAACCUUUUGUUGUUGAUACCCCCAAGCAAGUCUUACCCAAUAAUGUCCCAAUACUACCCAACAAAUCGGGUUUACUGGACUUUGACAGUAGCCUUAUUUUUCCAAUAUUUUUCUCACUACCAUCCUUUUGGUGAAAGUCCAUGGAGGAAUAAUACCAGUCAUCACCUUGUUUAUGAUCACCGUUAUCCUUUUGGUAAUGGUAAAUUCUUGACAUUUGUGAUCUUACUGUCAUCCUUUUGGUGUCGAAGAUCAUUGAAGUUUUAAGCUAACCUUCAUCCUUUUGAAUCACCUUGUUUAUGAUCACCGUUAUCCUUUUGGUAAUGGUAAAUUCUUGACAUUUGUGAUCUUACUGUCAUCCUUUUGGUGUCGAAGAUCAUUGAAGUUUUAAGCUAACCUUCAUCCUUUUGGUGAUGGUGACCUCUGCAAUUAUUACACCCCACUGUCAUCCUUUUGGUGUCAGUAAUAUUUGAAGUCAUUAUAACUUAUUAUCAUCCUUUUGGUGGUAACGAGUUUCGAAGUUAUGAUUCCACCUUCAUCCUUUUGGUGAUGGUGAUUGUUGAUUCAUUAUCAUCCUUUUGGUGAUAACGAGUUCUGUUGUUUGUAGCGCCUUCAUCCUUUUGGUGAUGGUGACUAUUGACUUAUUAUCAUCCUUUUGGUGGUAACAAGUUUUGUCGUUUUAACAAUACCUUCAUCCUUUUGGUGAUGGUGAGUGUUGACUUCUUAUCAUCCUUUUGGUGAUAACAAGUUUGUGUCUUGAUCUUACCUUCAUCCUUUUGGUGAUGGCGAUCAUUUGUGUUGUCAGCUUAUUAUCAUCCUUUUGGUGGUAACUAAGUUUUGUCGUUUGACAAAUACCUUCAUCCUUUUGGUGAUGGUGAUUGUUGACUUCUUAUCAUCCUUUUGGUGAUAACAAGUUUGUGUUUUGAUCUUACCUUCAUCCUUUUGGUGAUGGUGAUCAUUUGCGUGUGUGCUUCUUAUCAUCCUUUUGGUGGUAACAAGUUUUAUCUUUUGAUUAUACCUUCAUCCUUUUGGUGAUGGUGGUUAUCAUCCUUUUGGUGAUAACAAGUUUGUGUCUUGAUCCUACCUUCAUCCUUUUGGUGAUGGUGAUCAAUUGUGUUGUGUUCUUAUUAUCAUCCUUUUGGUGAUAACAAGUUUGUGUCCUGAUUAUACCUUCAUCCUUUUGGUGAUGGUGAUUAUUGAAGUUAUCUGACUUAUUAUCAUCCUUUUGGUGAUAACAAGCUUUGUUGUUGGAUCUUACCUUCAUCCUUUUGGUGACGGUGAUCUUUGAAGUUUAUGAGUUAACUAUCAUCCUUUUGGUGAUAGCCUUGAUCCUAUACUCUCAGUAAUGGAAAAAUUUACCAGAAUGACCAUCAUCCUUUUGGUGAUAGAAAUCUGUGAAUUGUGUCUAACUUUCAUCCUUUAGGUGAUAGCGAGAUUUGUUGUUGAUCUGACCAUCAUCCUUUUGGUGAUGGCGAUCUUUGUUGCACCCACUGUAACCAUUAUCCUUUUGGUGAUGACUACCUUAAAAGCUCAGCUUAUCCAUCAUCCUUUUGGUGAUGACAAUCCUCAAAAUCAUGGUGAAUCUCUGUCAUCCUUUUGGUGUCAGAAAACCAGUCCCACCUUUGUCUUCACAUCAGAAAUAACCUGUGCCAGAUUUGAAUGUUGACUCGAGGGUUGGCAUUGAUCGAACAUCCUACCCCCAUUACCUUGGCAUCCAUUGCAUUUUCAUCUGCAUCUCUCCAUUGCAUUUCAAAGGACAAAAUUUGGAUCCUUUAGUAUUUAAUUACCUUCCACCACGAAUGUAUGAUGACCUUUAUCAUUCUUACUUUCUAGUUCAAGAUAAUUAAAUAGGGGCAGCUGUCGUACCCCAAUUUUGUCCGGGCAUUUUUAAUUUUUUCAAAAUUAAUUUCAGUUUCAUUUUUGCAUCAUACGCAUAGCAUGACAUACAUUUGCAUCAUGAAUAAACACCUAAAAUGUCAGUCAGAAGGAAUUUAUUUGAGAAUACAGAAAAAAUCGGUUGAAUCGUUAAAAUUUGAGAAAAGACUGUAUUUUUAAUAAGUAGGUUUUGUGCUGACAAUUUUAAUGUGACUGGUUUAUUUAUUAUUAUUAUUUUUUUUAUUUUUUUAUUUUCUUUCUUUUUUCGAAUUAAAUUUGUACUCGAUUUUUUUUAAUUGGUCAAAUAUUAGUUAGAGUUUUUUUUUAAAUAUUAUUUAAUUAAAUAUUAGUUAAUGUUUUUUAUAUUAAUUAGUUUUUUUAUAUUAGUUAGAUUUUUUCUAAAAUAGUAGUUAAUUUUAGUUUUUAAAUAUUAAUUAGUUUGUUUAGUUAGAUUUUGUAAAAUAUUAGUUAGAGUAUUUUUUUUUUAAUAUUAAUUAGUUUUUCUAAAUAUUAGUUAGUUUUUAAAUAUUAGUUAGAUUUUUCUUUUUAAUAUUAAUUAGUUUUUUUUAGUGUUAAUUAGUUUAAGAGUUAGUUAGCUUUUUUAUUAGUUAAUUUUUAAAUAGUAGUUAGUUAGAGUUUUUAAAAUAUUAAUUAGUUUUUUUAUUUUUUAUGAAUAUAUGUAUUUUACAUUGGAUUCCAAUCCAUAAAAAAACAAAAAAAACAAAAUCUCCCAACGUCUCUCUCCAUCCACUCCCAACAGACCCUGCUCCACUACCUCUCCUCUCUCUCGUACCAGAAAAGACAAAAAAAGAAAAUAGAUAAAUGGGAACGUUACUCUCUCACUCUCAGACCACUAUUCACUCUCUCAAAAAAAAGACAAUCUCUCAAUUUCCUCUCAACUCUGAGCUCACACAAUCCCCUUCCUCUCUCGCCCCAAAUCUCUCACUCUCAAUUCUCAGCUGAAACUCUCACCGACAAACCCUCCUCUCUAAAAUCCGCCGCCACCACCUUCUACCACCACUAAACACUCACCAACCGUCAACCCUCCGAAUCCUUCAUCAUCUUCGUCAUCGCAACUCAACCGUUCACCGCCACCCAAAACCCCUACCGUCGCGGCGACUUCCACCUUCAAACCCUUAAACCACCUUCGAAACACCGUCAAAACCGCCGUCGCUCUCACCGGCAAACUCUCUCCAUCUACCUUCAAAUCGCGCCCUCACCGACAAACCCACACGAAACCUACUCAUCUCACAAUCUCCAAGCCGUCACCAUCCAUCAUCGCUUCCGUCCACAAUCGCGACCCAUCUUCACCGCUAAAACCUAAUCUCUAAAUCCGCCGUCAUCACCGUACCGAAGCCGUCGGUGACUUGUCAGUUCGCAACUAUCUUCGACCUUCAUCAACAGUUUGGGAUUGUGUUGUGUAAUUUUUCUGUUUUUUCAGGGAAAGUCUGAAGCUUUAGAGCCAUGGGUCCAGCACCGGUGACGAUUACAACUAGCCUCUGUUGAUAGCUUCAAAAGGAUUUUCUU